Molecule: unclassified non-coding RNA, 329 nt
Organism: Erinaceus europaeus (western European hedgehog)
Lineage: Eukaryota; Metazoa; Chordata; Mammalia; Eulipotyphla; Erinaceidae
Gene: 7SK
Rfam family: 7SK RNA
About the family: 7SK was discovered as an abundant small nuclear RNA in the mid-70s but a possible function has only recently been suggested. Two independent studies have found that 7SK RNA binds the CDK9/cyclin T complex (known as elongation factor P-TEFb).
Source: Ensembl
GGAUGUGAGGGCAACCAGGUCAUGACGUCUCAAACACUAUUUGACGAGGGUUGAUUGGGUUGCUCUGGCUUGCUAGUCAGGUUCCCCAGGUUCCCCAUUCUCCCUCACUACUCCAUGUGCAUCUCUCUGAAGCUGCUUGUUUGGUCAAAGAGGAUGACCUUUUCCAACUAGAAGCAGAUCUCUCUUCCCUUCUCUUCCAUUGAGGGUAUGAGUGCCUGUGCUUGCCUGCUAGAACCUCUAAACAAGCUCUCCUGGUCUAGAUGAGAACUGGGGCCCCUCACCCCAGAAUCUUGAAGCUGAGGUUCCAGGGCCUGUAGAAGACUACAGCU